AUGGACGUAAUCCUGGAAAUAGAAGUUCUUCUCGAUGAAGCUCGCGAGCCAGCGGGACGCGGCGAAGCACAGCACGGCCAAGGACACGACGGCGGCUCUCUGCACGACCGACGUCACCAGCGUCCCCUUGGCGACGGCGAGGAACCCGACGACCGCCACCGAAGCGACCUGCAGGGCGACCUCCAGCGCCUUCAUGGUCUUCAGCGCGGCGCUGCAGCUCCUGCACUGCGCAACGUGCGACCAGUACCUGUGGACGCCAUCGCAAAAUUCGUUCAGAUGGGGUUCACUGAAUCCUCAGGUAUUCAGGUUUGGCAUGGAGAAGAGUUAGAAUGUUGCAUUAUUUGUACCUCUCCAUGA
Molecule: ribosomal RNA, 357 nt
Filed under: Triticum aestivum (bread wheat)
Lineage: Eukaryota; Viridiplantae; Streptophyta; Magnoliopsida; Poales; Poaceae
Description: partial small subunit ribosomal RNA
Source: RNAcentral